UGAGGAACAUGACCUUCGGCGGGGGAUAGCCGGCCCAACGGCCGGGUAAUACCGCGUACGACCACUUUGGGGACAUCCCUGAGUGGUGAAAGCAGCAAUGCGCCGAUGGAGUGCCUCGCGGCCUAUCAGCUAGUUGGUGAGGUAACGGCUCACCAAGGCAACGACGGGUAGCUGGUCUGGAGGGGAUGGCCAGGCCCAACAGUUGGGGACUGAGACACGGCCCAGACUCCGUACGGGAGCA
Molecule: ribosomal RNA, 241 nt
Filed under: uncultured bacterium
Lineage: Bacteria
Description: partial 16S ribosomal RNA
Rfam family: Bacterial small subunit ribosomal RNA
Source: RNAcentral